GCCGGCGCGGGCUGGAAGCGGCUGCACAAGCCGGAGCGCGGGGGACGCGCAGAGCUUAGUUCCAGCCCGUGCUCAUCCGUCCUUCCCAGACAGGCUUUCCUGCCUCUACUUCUCCGUUUUCUGUGCCUUUGUUCAUGCUAUUCCCUCUACCGAAAUGCUCUUCCCUUCAUCUCCACCUGUCAACAGUCAAGUCAUCCGCCAACCGCAGAUCACAGAGGACUGCCACCGGAAGAUCCCGGGCUUCCCUGGUGGCGCAGUAGUUAAGAAUCCGCCUGUCAAUGCAGGGGACACGGGUUCGAGCCCUAGUCCGGGAAGAUCCCACAUGCCGCGGAGCAACGAAGCCCGUGUGCCUCAACUACUGAGCCUGCGCUCUAGAGCCUGCGAGCCACAACUACUGAAGCCUGUGAGCCUAGAGCCCGAGCUCCGCAACAAGAGAAGCCAUCGCAAUGAGAAGCCCGCACACCACAAAGAAUAGUAGUCCCCACUCGCCGCAACUAGAGAAAGCCCACGUGCAGCAACGAAGACCCAACACAGCCAGAAACAAUGAAUAAAAUAAAAUAAAUAUAGGAUCCUCAUCCCCGUGUGGGUCUUAUUGCCGCUAUCCAUGGGGAGCUGCUGGAGGUGAGGACCCUGUCUUGGCCGUCUUUGUGUCCCUCUUAUGCCUGAUGACAGUGACAUUGCCUGGUGUCCAAAAAGUUUGUUGAAAGAAUGAAAUGCUUAAAACUUUAAUUGGUGGGAUUUCGAGAAGGUACUUGAGACAGAGCAGGCUCUUACUCAGCUUCAAACCUGGUAAACUGCUGUGUCUCUGAGCGAUUCACAUCUGGUCUGAAUCUGUCUUUGUUGAUGCCCUGUAGAGCCUUGUAACUAGUCCCCCAACUAACCUUCCUAUCUCCAGACCUUCUCCCUCAGCCCCUUCUUCCUACCCUCAUCCGUAAACCACAGUGACCUUUCAUACAAAUAGAAAUCUCACUUAUAAUAUAAAUAUAGCUGGAGUCUCAACCUUGGAGGGACAGGAGGGGGAUACCCUUUGCUUUGGGAAACGGCACAGGAUGAAUCAUUUAAGGUAAAUGGAUGGAAGCCUCCUAUCUGUCUACUAUUCUUUAGGAAAACUGUGAAGUCACUUUUUAAAAAGUGAGAUAUAACUGACAUACUAUAGUGCUUUUUAGUAUAUUUGCAAAGUUGUGCAGCCAUCACUACUACCUAAUUGCAGAACACUUUCAUCACCCCAAAAUGAAACCCCAUACGCGUUAGCAGUCACUCCCCAGUCCCUCCUCCCCCAGCCACUGAUAACCACUAAUCUACUUUCUGUCUCUAGGGAUUUGCCUGCUUCAGACAUUUCGUAUAAAUGG
Globicephala melas (long-finned pilot whale) is the source of this 1349-nucleotide long non-coding RNA. RefSeq lists it as uncharacterized. The record is from RefSeq and is a predicted model, not a curated record. Lineage: Eukaryota; Metazoa; Chordata; Mammalia; Artiodactyla; Delphinidae.